RNAcentral lists this ribosomal RNA (92 nucleotides) under Syntrophus sp. (in: bacteria). Lineage: Bacteria; Pseudomonadati; Thermodesulfobacteriota; Syntrophia; Syntrophales; Syntrophaceae. The record is from RNAcentral.
CACCCGUUCCCAUUCCGAACACGGAAGUUAAGCUCUUUAGCGCCGAUGGUACUGCAUGGGUGACUGUGUGGGAGAGUAGGGAGCCGCCGGGA